Molecule: ribosomal RNA, 152 nt
Filed under: uncultured Magnetospirillum sp.
Lineage: Bacteria; Pseudomonadati; Pseudomonadota; Alphaproteobacteria; Rhodospirillales; Rhodospirillaceae
Description: partial 16S ribosomal RNA
Rfam family: Bacterial small subunit ribosomal RNA
Source: RNAcentral
UGCACACACCGCCCGUCACACCAUGGGAGUUGGUUCUACCCGAAGGCGUUGCGCCGACCGCAAGGAGGCAGGCGACCACGGUAGUGUCAGCGACUGGGGUGAAGUCGUAACAAGGUAGCCGUAGGGGAACCUGCGGCUGGAUCACCUCCUUU